RNAcentral lists this ribosomal RNA (412 nucleotides) under uncultured Vexilliferidae. Its description in RNAcentral is "partial Bacterial large subunit ribosomal RNA". It matches the Rfam family "Bacterial large subunit ribosomal RNA", at positions 1294 to 1811 of the family's 2925-position model. The record is from RNAcentral. Lineage: Eukaryota; Discosea; Flabellinia; Dactylopodida; Vexilliferidae.
AUGCUGACAUGAGUAGCGAUAAAGAGUGUGAGAGACACUCUCGCCGAAAGUCCAAGGGUUCCUGCUUAAAGCUAAUCUGAGCAGGGUAAGCCGGCCCCUAAGCCGAGGGCGAAAGCCGUAGGCGAUGGGAACCAGGUCAAUAUUCCUGGGCCUGCUGGAAUGUGACGAAUGCUGUAAGUUGUCUCUCCUUAUCGGAUUGGGGGGGCCGCGAAGGCGUUCCAGGAAACAGCUCCAGCUUUAGACCGUACCCUAAACCGACACAGGUGGACUGGUAGAGAAUACCAAGGCGCUUGAGAGAACGAUGUUGAAGGAACUCGGCAAAAUACCUCCGUAAGUUCGCGAGAAGGAGGCCCGGGUUCAAGGCAACUUGGAUCCGGGGGCACAAACCAGGGGGUGGCGACUGUUUACUAAA